UACAGAGGUCUCAAGCGUUGUUCGGAUUCAUUGGGCGUAAAGCGCACGUAGGCGGCUUUUUAAGUCAGGGGUGAAAUCCUGGAGCUCAACUCCAGAACUGCCUUUGAUACUGAGAAGCUUGAGUCCGGGAGAGGUGAGUGGAACUGCGAGUGUAGAGGUGAAAUUCGUAGAUAUUCGCAAGAACACCAGUGGCGAAGGCGGCUCACUGGCCCGGUACUGACGCUGAAAAGCGAAAGCCAGGGGAGCAAACGGG
This 253-nucleotide ribosomal RNA is filed under the name uncultured bacterium. RNAcentral's name for it is "partial 16S ribosomal RNA". It matches the Rfam family "Bacterial small subunit ribosomal RNA", at positions 524 to 776 of the family's 1533-position model. The record is from RNAcentral.